Unclassified non-coding RNA from Mesocricetus auratus (golden hamster), 98 nucleotides. Ensembl annotates it as predicted gene, 55342. The record is from Ensembl. Lineage: Eukaryota; Metazoa; Chordata; Mammalia; Rodentia; Cricetidae.
UUAUAAGGAAGGCGUUGGUCCUCCGGUGCAGCUUUUUUCUCUAGAAGGACUUAGCACUGGCAUUUCUGGUCUUGUAAACACAGGACUUGAAAAAAAAU